UGGUAGCAAUACUGAGCGAAGCUAGUGACGAACGGGUGCGUAACACAUGAGUCAUCUGCCCAGAAGUGGGGAAUAGCUCGGCGAAAGCCGGAUUAAUACCGCAUGUGGUCGUAAGACCAAAGCCGGGGCAACCUGGCGCUUUUGGAGGAGCUCGUGGCCUAUCAGCUAGUUGGUGAGGUAACGGCUUACCAAGGCAACGACGGGUAGCUGGUCUGAGAGGACGACCAGCCACACUGGAACUGAGAUACGGUCCAGACACCUACGGGUGGCAGCAGUCGAGAAUUUUUCUCAAUGGGGGAAACCCUGAAGGAGCGACGCCGCGUGGAGGAUGAAUGCUUUCGGGUUGUAAACUCCUGUCAUUUGGGAACAAGGCCUUACGUUAACUGCGUGGAGGAUUGAUAGUACCAGAAGAGGAAGAGACGGCUAACUCUGUGCCAGCAGCCGCGGUAAUACAGAGGUCUCGAGCGUUGUUCGGAUUCAUUGGGCGUAAAGGGCGCGUAGGCGGCGGGGUAAGUCUGGUGUGAAAUCUAGGAGCUCAACUCCUAAACUGCACUGGAUACUGCUCUGCUAGAGGACUGGAGAGGAGACUGGAAUUCACGGUGUAGCA
This 607-nucleotide ribosomal RNA is filed under the name uncultured Verrucomicrobiota bacterium. Its description in RNAcentral is "bacterial SSU rRNA". It matches the Rfam family "Bacterial small subunit ribosomal RNA", at positions 74 to 680 of the family's 1533-position model. The record is from RNAcentral. Lineage: Bacteria; Pseudomonadati; Verrucomicrobiota.